Long non-coding RNA from Homo sapiens (human), 1010 nucleotides. Ensembl annotates it as glutamine insufficiency regulator of glutaminase lncRNA. Its record names the gene GIRGL. The record is from Ensembl. NCBI's taxonomy places the organism in Eukaryota, Metazoa, Chordata, Mammalia, Primates, Hominidae.
AAGAAGAAAGGGGAAGCAGGUGGAAAAGCAAUUAAAAAAAAAUCAGGUGAGUAUAUCUAAGAACCAUCUGUAAAUAUAAUCUUAUUUCCAUGAAAGGAAAUAAAAGUGGUUUAAUGUUUGCCAGGGAGUAAGAAGGCACCCUCAGUGUUAGCAAUAAGUAAAAAAUAUUUAUGCAAGCAAAUCCUCAUGCAGCUGGAACUUGCCCCACCAGAUUCUCUUUCGGUGAUUCAGAGCUGAAGGUGCCUCACUGCCCUGUGGAACAGGUGAAUAAAGCCUUCCCAGCAUCUCUCUCUAGCCUAUUAUCUCCUGUUAGACACAGCCCAGAAAAUGAAUAGAGACAAGUCCUGGCUGGGUCUGGGUUCAGAAACAUAAUAGAAGGAUUCAUCUAAUGGAAGGGAAUUCUUUCCACAGUUGCUAGUUCCUCACACCUCUGCCUCUAUGGGAUUCUCCUGGUCCCCACAUGCUCUGCUGUGUCUUCUAGCUGUCGGCCACUGUGGAGGAAGUGAACCUUCUAGAUCCUGCUGACUCAUACAAUGAGUUUUGUGUGGACCAUCAGACAAAAGGGCUGGCUGGUGAAGGUGGCUGUUGUCUGGAAAUUCCUCCCAGCUCUCCUCUAAUUAUGUCAUAAGGACUGGAGGCCCCUUAGCCUGCUUGUGAUAACACGCAAGGAAAUAUGGGCCAACUCUUCACAUGAACACAAGAUAUUUCCAUGCUAGCCUUUUGCAAGUAACAACAGAGAGAGCUCUGUGCAGUUUUCACUGGAAUGCCUGUGGAUUGCUUGUGUCAUAACUGUAAUCUAAAGAGUUGUCCAUUUGUUGAUUCCUUUGUAUUUGUAUUGGUAGAAUUGCCACUAUCAAACCAAGAUCUUUAGCUGCCUUUGUAUCAACUUCUUUGGAGCUUAUGUGAUUUUCCAGAAAAUUUCCAAGGCAUAGUUUUGUCCCUAAGUCCCAUGAAUAUGUAAUAUUUUGUGUCUCUCUAUUAAAAUAGCACUUUUUGUGCAUUCCAUUAAC